This 212-nucleotide long non-coding RNA is filed under the name Nicotiana benthamiana. RNAcentral describes it as "long non-coding RNA (NBEN_LNC011667)". The record is from RNAcentral. Lineage: Eukaryota; Viridiplantae; Streptophyta; Magnoliopsida; Solanales; Solanaceae.
CCAAGACUUCAACCAAGGAAACACAAGUUCCUUACAACAAGAGAAUCACAAUUCUCUUACAAGUGUAUAAAACACUAAACACUCAAACAAAAUACUCUUUAAUGAGUACAUAUGAGUAAAAGAAGUAAGCUCUAGAUCACAACAACUUUGGUACAAGAAUAUGGCUCUCAAAAGCUUUAUGAAAUUGAAUAUAAAAUGAUAAACAAAAGUAU